RNAcentral lists this ribosomal RNA (443 nucleotides) under uncultured bacterium. RNAcentral's name for it is "bacterial SSU rRNA". It matches the Rfam family "Bacterial small subunit ribosomal RNA", at positions 338 to 795 of the family's 1533-position model. The record is from RNAcentral.
CCUACGGGCGGCAGCAGUGGGGAAUAUUGCGCAAUGGGGGGAACCCUGACGCAGCGACGCCGCGUGAGCGAAGAAGGCCUUCGGGUCGUAAAGCUCUGUUGUAAGGGACGAAGGAAAUGACGGUACCUUACGAGGAAGCCCCGGCUAACUACGUGCCAGCAGCCGCGGUAAGACGUAGGGGGCGAGCGUUGUCCGGAAUUACUGGGCGUAAAGAGCACGUAGGCGGGUAUUUAAGUCAGGUGUGAAAGACCGCAGCCCAACUGCGGGGUUGCACAUGAAACUGGAUAUCUUGAGGGCAGGAGAGGUCAGUAGAAUUCCUGGUGUAGCGGUGAAAUGCGUAGAAAUCAGGAGGAAUACCAGUGGCGAAGGCGGCUGACUGGACUGACCCUGACGCUGAGGUGCGAAAGCGUGGGUAGCAAACAGGAUUAGAUACCCUGGUAGUC